GAUGGCUUGCUCUGCUUCCAGCUGGGUCAAUUAGCAAGUAUCCUCACCAGUUUAAAAACCACCCGGGGCUCGCAUCGCGCUCACUCACUGGCUGCCAAGGAGGACAAAUGGAAAAAUCACUUCUUCCUAAAGAUUUGAGCAGUUUUGACUGCUUUUCACCAUCGGAGCUUGAUCGAAAGUUCUUUGGGGAACAGAGUUUGCCUUCUACUUUGUCACUGGGCCGAAUGUCAAAAUCAAGCGUUUCAUCUGAUGGUUUAGUUGAUGGCUCUGAAGUCAAACCUUUGAUCAAGACUUCUCUCAGCACAUCGACUGAUCCAGCAUCUCUGUCUCAGCCAUGUUUCCCCAAUGACUUGAACAGCCACGAGUUGGAAAAUUGUCGCCUGUUAUUGCCAUUACAGGGCAAUUCAUCCACUCCCUACGUUCUCCUGCAAAAGCGAGAAAAGGCUCAUUUUGACCAGUCAUACAGUGACCUUACUGCCUCUCGAAUGUCUUUGGAUGUGUCUGUGAUUAAGCCGGACAGCAAUAGCCCGCAACUCCGGACCGAGUCGAGCACUUUGGAGCUGUGGAGUCCAAAACUGCAAUCUGGACCACAUUCAAGACCAGAAGUUUCUCCUUGAUCUGAUGCACUCCUUUUAUGUAUCCAAAUUGUGAUUGAGAAAUGAAGAUUUUUAAACAAGUGGUAAUAAAAGUUGCUAUUUGCUUGA
This is a long non-coding RNA of Hippocampus comes (tiger tail seahorse), 704 nucleotides long. RefSeq lists it as uncharacterized. Lineage: Eukaryota; Metazoa; Chordata; Actinopteri; Syngnathiformes; Syngnathidae. The transcript has 2 exons. The record is from RefSeq and is a predicted model, not a curated record.